Molecule: small RNA, 1207 nt
Filed under: Pongo abelii (Sumatran orangutan)
Lineage: Eukaryota; Metazoa; Chordata; Mammalia; Primates; Hominidae
Description: retained intron
Source: RNAcentral
UCAGCUGUCCGGGCCGCUUUCGCCUCCGCCUGUGGAUGCUGCGCCUCUCCGAACGGAACAUGAAGGUGCUUCUUGCCGCCGCCCUCAUCGCGGGGUCCGUCUUCUUCCUGCUGCUGCCGGGACCUUCUGCGGCCGAUGAGAAGAAGAAGGGGCCCAAAGUCACCGUCAAGGUGUAUUUUGACCUACGAAUUGGAGAUGAAGAUGUAGGCCGGGUGAUCUUUGGUCUCUUCGGAAAGACUGUUCCAAAAACCGUGGAUAAUUUUGUGGCCUUAGCUACAGGAGAGAAAGGAUUUGGCUACAAAAACAGCAAAUUCCAUCGUGUAAUCAAGGACUUCAUGAUCCAGGGCGGAGACUUCACCAGGGGAGAUGGCACAGGAGGUAACCACAGGUCCUCUGGGCCAAGGAGUAUGUCAAUGUAACCUCCACAGUGGGAGGGCCAGGUUCUGCUGGGGAGACAAGGCCUCUUUCUUCCCCAGCUCUAGAGGCAGGCCUACUUAUUACUUACCUACUUUGAGACCAGCGGCACCCUUCUUUGAAGAGGGAACCCAGUACAAAGGAGAGAGAAUAAUGGGGUGGACCUGAUGGUAGAUCUAAGAGAAUCUCUCCCAGGUGGCCAUCCUGCUGAUCCAGGCCUAUAGCCUGGUGACCUUUCCUGAUACCUCUUCAGAAUGGGGACUGGGGAGAGAGGCGUGUGGAAGCAAAGUGAAGACAUGUGGAUAUGCGAUUCUAGGUCAGGUGCCCAAAGCCUGUCCAGGCUACCCUGGAAGCCCCAGCAAGAGUGGGAGGGCCAGGCGUGGUGACUCUGUGAUCCCAGCACUUUGGAAGGCCAAGGUGGCUGGAUCACUUGAGGCCAGGAGUUCAAGACCAGCCUGGCCAACAUGUUGAAACCCCAUCUCUACUAAAAAUACAAAAGAUUAGCCGGGUGUGGUGGGACACGCCUAUAAUCCCAGUUACUCGGGAGGCUGAGGCAGGAAAAUUGCUUGAACCCGGGAGGUGGAGGUUGCAGUGAGCUGAAAUCAUGCCACUGCACUCCAGCCUGGGUGACAGAGCGAGACUCCAUCUCAAAAAAAAAAAAAAAGAGUGGGAGCAGUUACUUUCCUUGACAGUCUUUCACCAGAGACCACUCUGUGAGGGCCGACCCUCACCUUGGCAUUAACUUGCACACGUAGGACAGAAAGACUCCCGGACGCCUGCAUGAGUCUCACUG